This 410-nucleotide long non-coding RNA is filed under the name Rattus norvegicus (Norway rat). Its description in RNAcentral is "long non-coding RNA NONRATT027048". Lineage: Eukaryota; Metazoa; Chordata; Mammalia; Rodentia; Muridae. The record is from RNAcentral.
GAGGAGGCUGGGAGGAGGCUGGGUAAGAGCGCAGUUGGUGCUGAGGGGACUGUACAUUGUCCCCUGGCUGAGUGCAGAUAGUACAGUAGGGCUGUCUCUGAAGGCAGGGCAGCAGGAGGCAGAGUGGGCUCUGGUUCCUGGGGCUCCGUCGCUCACCCUCCAUGCAGGGAGGUGCUGUUUGACUUCGCAGCAGCUGGUCCCUGUGAGGACGGCUCUGCCCGUUUUGUGUGUCAGCCAUGGAGCCGUCGGGCAGCCUGUUUCCCUCUCUGGUAGUCGUGGGUCAUGUUGUCAGUCUGGCUGCUGUAUGGCACUGGCGUAAGGGGCAUCGGCAGGCACAGGAUGAGCAAGAUGAACGAGACCGUGUGCAGAAGAAAACUUUCACCAAGUGGGUCAAUAAACACCUUAUCAAG